AGUGAACGCUGGCGGUAGGCCUAACACAUGCAAGUCGAACGGCAGCACAGUAAGAGCUUGCGCUUACGGGUGGCGAGUGGCGGACGGGUGAGGAAUACAUCGGAAUCUACUUUUUCGUGGGGGAUAACGUAGGGAAACUUACGCUAAUACCGCAUACGACCUACGGGGGAAAGCAGGGGAUCUUCGGACCUUGUGCGAUUGAAAGAGCCGAUGUCGGAUUAGCUAGUUGGCGGGGUCAAGGCGCAGCCCGGCGACGAUCCGUAGCUGGUCUGAGAGCGUGAUCACACACCCUGGAACUGAGACACGGUCCAGACUCCUACGGUAGGACGCAGUCGAGAAUAUUAGGCAAUGGACGCAAGCCUGAUCCAGCAAUACCGCGUGAGUGAAGAAGGCCUUCGGGUUGUAAAGCCCUUUUGUUGGGAAAGAAAAGCAGCAGGUUAAUACCCCGCUGUUCUGACGGUACCCAAAGAAUAAGCACCGGCUAACUUCGUG
Molecule: ribosomal RNA, 492 nt
Filed under: uncultured bacterium
Lineage: Bacteria
Description: partial 16S ribosomal RNA
Rfam family: Bacterial small subunit ribosomal RNA
Source: RNAcentral